This 394-nucleotide ribosomal RNA is filed under the name uncultured bacterium. Its description in RNAcentral is "partial 16S ribosomal RNA". It matches the Rfam family "Bacterial small subunit ribosomal RNA", at positions 338 to 729 of the family's 1533-position model. The record is from RNAcentral.
CCUACGGGAGGCAGCAGUGAGGAAUAUUGGUCCCUGGACGCAAGUCUGAACCAGCCAUGCCGCGUGCAGGAUGACGGCUCUCUGAGUCGUAAACUGCUUUUGUAUGAGGGUAAACGCCACUACGUGUAUAUGUCUGAAAGUAUCAUAUGACUAAGGAUCGGCUAACUCCGUGCCAGCAGCCGCGGUAAUACGGAGGCUUCGAGCGUUAUCCGGAUUUAUUGGGGUUAAAGGGUGCGUAGGUGGUCGGAUAAGUUAGUGGUGAAAGUCUGAGGCUCAACCUUGGAAUUGCAUCUGAUACUGUCCGUCUAGAGAGCAUUUGAGGUAGGCGGAAUGUGUGGUGUAGCGGUGAAAUGCUUAGAUAUCACGCAGAACGCCGAUUGCGAAGGCAGCUUAC